UAAGACAGAGGCCCCGAGCGUUAGUCGGAAUUACUGGGCUUAAAGGGUGCGUAGGCGGACCUCUAAGUGUCGUGUGAAAGCCCAUGGCUUAACCAUGGAACCGCACGGCAAACUGGGGGUCUUGAGGAAGGUAGAGGCGGGUAGAACCAAUGGUGGAGCGGUGGAAUGCGUAGAUAUCAUUGGGAAUGCCGAAGGUGAAGACAGCCCGCUGGGCCUUUCCUGACGCUGAGGCACGAAAGCGUGGGGAGCAAACAGGAUUAGAUACCCUGGUAGUCCACGCCCUAAACGAUGUAUGCUGAAUCGGAGCGGCUCUGACGCCGUUCGGAUUGUAGAGAAAUUGUUAAGCAUACCGCCUGGGGAGUACGGUCGCAAGGCUA
RNAcentral lists this ribosomal RNA (377 nucleotides) under uncultured bacterium. Its description in RNAcentral is "bacterial SSU rRNA". It matches the Rfam family "Bacterial small subunit ribosomal RNA", at positions 521 to 896 of the family's 1533-position model. The record is from RNAcentral.